UACGGAGGGGGCUAGCGCUGUUCGGAAUUACUGGGCGUAAAGGGCGCGUAGGCGGCGCGAUAAGUUGGGCGUGAAAGGCCCGGGCUCAACCCGGGGACUGCGCUUGAUACUGUCGCGCUGUGAGUCCGGGAGAGGAUGGCGGAAUUCCCAGUGUAGAGGUGAAAUUCGUAGAUAUUCGGAAGAACACCAGUGGCGAAGGCGGCUCACUGGACUGGUAUUGACGCUGAGGUGCGAAAGCGUGGGGAGCAAACAGG
This 254-nucleotide ribosomal RNA is filed under the name uncultured bacterium. Its description in RNAcentral is "partial 16S ribosomal RNA". It matches the Rfam family "Bacterial small subunit ribosomal RNA", at positions 524 to 776 of the family's 1533-position model. The record is from RNAcentral.